UGGGGAAUUUUGCACAAUGGGGGAAACCCUGAUGCAGCGACGCCGCGUGAUUUAGAAGGCCUUCGGGUUGUAAAAAUCUUUUCUAUGGGAAGAAAAUGUCAGUACCAUAGGAAUAAGGACCGGCUAAUUACGUGCCAGCAGCCGCGGUAAUACGUAAGGUCCGAGCGUUGUCCGGAAUCAUUGGGCGUAAAGGGUACGUAGGCGGGUAAGCAAGUUAGAAGUGAAAUCCUAUAGCUCAACUAUAGUAAGCUUUUAAAACUGCUCAUCUUGAGGUAUGGAAGGGAAAGUGGAAUUCCUAGUGUAGCGGUGAAAUGCGCAGAUAUUAGGAGGAAUACCGGUGGCGAAGGCGACUUUCUGGCCAUAACCUGACGCUGAGGUACGAAAGCGUGGGUAGCAAACAGG
RNAcentral lists this ribosomal RNA (402 nucleotides) under bacterium. RNAcentral describes it as "partial 16S ribosomal RNA". It matches the Rfam family "Bacterial small subunit ribosomal RNA", at positions 355 to 776 of the family's 1533-position model. The record is from RNAcentral.